Molecule: ribosomal RNA, 450 nt
Filed under: uncultured bacterium
Lineage: Bacteria
Description: bacterial SSU rRNA
Rfam family: Bacterial small subunit ribosomal RNA
Source: RNAcentral
UGGGGAAUUGUUCGCAAUGGGCGCAAGCCUGACGACGCAACGCCGCGUGGAGGAUGAAGACCUUCGGGUCGUAAACUCCUUUCGAUCGAGACGAAUGGCUUCCGGGUUAAUACCCCGGAAGAAUGACGGUACCGAGAGAAGAAGCCCCGGCUAACUCCGUGCCAGCAGCCGCGGUAAUACGGGGGGGGCAAGCGUUGUUCGGAAUUACUGGGCGUAAAGGGCUCGUAGGUGGCCAACUAAGUCAGACGUGAAAUCCCUCGGCUUAACCGGGGAACUGCGUCUGAUACUGGAUGGCUUGAGUUUGGGAGAGGGAUGCGGAAUUCCAGGUGUAGCGGUGAAAUGCGUAGAUAUCUGGAGGAACACCGGUGGCGAAGGCGGCAUCCUGGACCAACACUGACACUGAGGAGCGAAAGCCAGGGGAGCAAACGGGAUUAGAUACCCGUGUAGUCC